This 213-nucleotide ribosomal RNA is filed under the name uncultured eukaryote. RNAcentral's name for it is "partial 18S ribosomal RNA". It matches the Rfam family "Eukaryotic small subunit ribosomal RNA", at positions 1299 to 1458 of the family's 1831-position model. The record is from RNAcentral.
UGGUGGAUUGCUUUGUCUGGUUAAUUCCGAUAACGAACGAGACCGCAACCUGCUAAAUAGUUCCGAUAACCAUCUGUAUGGGUGAAAGCGUUGUUGCCUUGGCUGGCUCAUGGUCGGUCAAGUGACGGCGUUGGAUCCUUGAUCGGUUGUCGCUUUGAACUUCUUAGAGGGACUAUUCUGUGUUUUAACGAUUGGAAGCUUGCGACAAUAACA